UGAACGCUGGCGGCAUGCCUUACACAUGCAAGUCGAACGGCAGCACGGGUGCUUGCACCUGGUGGCGAGUGGCGAACGGGUGAGUAAUACAUCGGAACAUGUCCUGUAGUGGGGGAUAGCCCGGCGAAAGCCGGAUUAAUACCGCAUACGAUCUACGGAUGAAAGCGGGGGACCUUCGGGCCUCGCGCUAUAGGGUUGGCCGAUGGCUGAUUAGCUAGUUGGUGGGGUAAAGGCCUACCAAGGCGACGAUCAGUAGCUGGUCUGAGAGGACGACCAGCCACACUGGGACUGAGACACGGCCCAGACUCCUACGGGAGGCAGCAGUGGGGAAUUUUGGACAAUGGGCGAAAGCCUGAUCCAGCAAUGCCGCGUGUGUGAAGAAGGCCUUCGGGUUGUAAAGCACUUUUGUCCGGAAAGAAAUCCUUGGCUCUAAUACAGUCGGGGGAUGACGGUACCGGAAGAAUAAGCACCGGCUAACUACGUGCCAGCAGCCGCGGUAAUACGUAGGGUGCGAGCGUUAAUCGGAAUUACUGGGCGUAAAGCGUGCGCAGGCGGUUUGCUAAGACCGAUGUGAAAUCUCCGGGCUCAACCUGGGAACUGCAUUGGUGACUGGCAGGCUAGAGUAUGGCAGAGGGGGGUAGAAUUCCACGUGUAGCAGUGAAAUGCGUAGAGAUGUGGGAGGAAUACCGAUGGCGAAAGCAGCCCCCUGGGCCAAUACUGACGCUCAUGCACGAAAGCGUGGGGGAGCAAACAGGAUUAGAUACCCUGGUAGUCCACGCCCUAAACGAUGUCAACUAGUUGUUGGGGAUUCAUUUCCUUUAGUAACGUAGCUAACGCGUGAAGUUGACCGCUGGGGAGUACGGUCGCAAGAUUAAAACUCAAAGGAAUUGACGGGGACCCGCACAAGCGGUGGAUGAUGUGGAUUAAUUCGAUGCAACGCGAAAAACCUUACCUACCCUUGACAUGGUCGGAAUCCCGCUGAGAGGUGGGAGUGCUCGAAAGAGAACCGGCGCACAGGUGCUGCAUGGCUGUCGUCAGCUCGUGUCGUGAGAUGUUGGGUUAAGUCCCGCAACGAGCGCAACCCUUGUCCUUAGUUGCUACGCAAGAGCACUCUAAGGAGACUGCCGGUGACAAACCGGAGGAAGGUGGGGAUGACGUCAAGUCCUCAUGGCCCUUAUGGGUAGGGCUUCACACGUCAUACAAUGGUCGGAACAGAGGGUUGCCAACCCGCGAGGGGGAGCUAAUCCCAGAAAACCGAUCGUAGUCCGGAUUGCACUCUGCAACUCGAGUGCAUGAAGCUGGAAUCGCUAGUAAUCGCGGAUCAGCAUGCCGCGGUGAAUACGUUCCCGGGUCUUGUACUCACCGCC
Molecule: ribosomal RNA, 1367 nt
Filed under: uncultured beta proteobacterium
Lineage: Bacteria; Pseudomonadati; Pseudomonadota; Betaproteobacteria
Description: 16S ribosomal RNA
Rfam family: Bacterial small subunit ribosomal RNA
Source: RNAcentral